AUGAUUGUAUGGUGUUGCUGCUGCUGCUUGGUUGCGACGAGAAGGCGGACGACCCGGCGUGCUACACUGCUACCUGUUGUUAUUUACAUUUAUCCAUGGCUGCUACACUACUACUUCCUACUGCUAGCUUGUUGCCACACAACUACUCAACCUGAACCUUGUAUUUGUGCUGCUGCUAAACUUUGUAUUUCUGCUGCUAUUUGUGCACCUGAACCUUGUAUUUGUGCUUCUGAAGACAUGCACCAUGUAUUUGUGAUGCUAUUUGUGCUCUUGAACCUUGUAUUUGCCUUCCUGAUAUUGUGUUUUCUAGCUGUUCUACUAUAUAUUCACAUUGAUGGUUAG
Molecule: ribosomal RNA, 342 nt
Filed under: Triticum aestivum (bread wheat)
Lineage: Eukaryota; Viridiplantae; Streptophyta; Magnoliopsida; Poales; Poaceae
Description: partial small subunit ribosomal RNA
Source: RNAcentral